GUGAGGAAUAUUGGUCAAUGGGAGAGAUCCUGAACCAGCCAAGCCGCGUGAGGGAAGACGGCCCUAUGGGUUGUAAACCUCUUUUGUCGGAGAACAAAACCCGGGACGUGUCCCGGACUGCGUGUAUCCGAAGAAAAAGCAUCGGCUAACUCCGUGCCAGCAGCCGCGGUAAUACGGAGGAUGCGAGCGUUAUCCGGAUUUAUUGGGUUUAAAGGGUGCGUAGGCGGUCCGUUAAGUCAGCGGUAAAAUUGCGGGGCUCAACCCCGUCGAGCCGUUGAAACUGGCAGACUUGAGUUGGCGAGAAGUACGCGGAAUGCGCGGUGUAGCGGUGAAAUGCAUAGAUAUCGCGCAGAACUCCGAUUGCGAAGGCAGCGUACCGGCGCCAGACUGACGCUGAGGCACGAAAGCGUGGGGAUCGAACAGGAUUAGAAACCCUAGUAGUCC
RNAcentral lists this ribosomal RNA (444 nucleotides) under uncultured Bacteroidales bacterium. RNAcentral's name for it is "bacterial SSU rRNA". It matches the Rfam family "Bacterial small subunit ribosomal RNA", at positions 354 to 796 of the family's 1533-position model. Lineage: Bacteria; Pseudomonadati; Bacteroidota; Bacteroidia; Bacteroidales. The record is from RNAcentral.